Paramuricea clavata is the source of this 278-nucleotide non-coding RNA. Lineage: Eukaryota; Metazoa; Cnidaria; Anthozoa; Malacalcyonacea; Plexauridae. The record is from the annotation of a GenBank genome assembly.
UGGCUUUUAAAGACCCGAAAAGUAUAUUGCAGACCAUAUCCGCAAUCCGCGUUUUACCCGAUUGGGUAAUUCAAAAAAAGCGAAGCUUUAUUUAAGACCCUAUUGUUUCUGUUCAAAUGUGUGUUUUUACCGGAAGUAGUAACCAAUUCCGCAUUCUGAUUGGCUUAGAGCGAAAUUGUCAACAAAUGCGCUGAUUGGUCGAGAACAAAAUUCCCCCUUGUUGGCCGCUCAGGAACCAAUCAUACGGAUCGCUAUGAUGGACUUCCUAGUCUAAAAAA